RNAcentral lists this transfer RNA (63 nucleotides) under bovine gut metagenome. It matches the Rfam family "tRNA", at positions 5 to 66 of the family's 71-position model. From Rfam's summary of the family: Transfer RNA (tRNA) molecules are approximately 80 nucleotides in length. Their secondary structure includes four short double-helical elements and three loops (D, anti-codon, and T loops). Further hydrogen bonds mediate the characteristic L-shaped molecular structure. tRNAs have two regions of fundamental functional importance: the anti-codon, which is responsible for specific mRNA codon recognition, and the 3' end, to which the tRNAs corresponding amino acid is attached (by aminoacyl-tRNA synthetases). tRNAs cope with the degeneracy of the genetic code in two manners: having more than one tRNA (with a specific anti-codon) for a particular amino acid; and 'wobble' base-pairing, i.e. permitting non-standard base-pairing at the 3rd anti-codon position. The record is from RNAcentral.
GCUUAGCUCAGUGGUAGAGCGCUACCUUGCCAAGGUAGAUGUCGAGGGUUCAAAUCCCUUAGC